Salvia splendens (bonfire salvia) is the source of this 1085-nucleotide long non-coding RNA. RefSeq lists it as uncharacterized. The transcript has 2 exons. Lineage: Eukaryota; Viridiplantae; Streptophyta; Magnoliopsida; Lamiales; Lamiaceae. The record is from RefSeq and is a predicted model, not a curated record.
UAUAUAUAUAUAUAUAUAUAAGGAAAAUAAAAUAUCUGGGGGAUAGCCUUACAUUUUGGGAGAAGAAGGGACGGCCGUGGCCAUUGAUGAGUCUCCGAGUUUUUAUCUUCGAUUUUAUGUCGAAAUUUCAAUCUGAUCGCGUAAAACCUAAUAAAUCGAGUAAGCCCUAUCUAUCUAUCCUAGUUGUAUAUGCUGAAGUUCAGUAUUUUUUUUAAGUUAUAAAAUUUGAAAUAGUUGAUUAAGAUGGGGAUGUUUUAGUAUGCGAAUUUAUGUUUGAUAAUUUGUCAGAUACUUUACGUUUAGAUGUCAGCAAGCAUGUUUUGAUUGCUAUUUUGAAAGUUUAUAAAUCUUGCCUUGAUUAUCAUGAAAUGACAGAAUGCAGGGGGUUGUUUUAAUGUUGAAUUUGGUUGGGUUUUAUCUUGUUAGAAUGGAGAUAAACGUUAUAUGAUGCGCAGAAAUGUGUUUAGGAUCGAAAAACAAAACUAAAAGAAGUUCAGGUUGAAAUUAGGAAAAGGGGUCGAACUGAUCAGCCAUGGUUCAAUAAGUAGUGAUUUUAUUUUGAUAAUUCUAAUAUUGGAUUUGGAUUCUAGAUCGUCGAUAACGUCCAUAAUGAGUCUACUGGAAUUUUUUAGACGUUGUUUAGUUGGUUUUUAUAUUUUAAGUGAAUAUAUAUUAUAAAUGAUGAUAUAAAGAAUGUGUAUAAUUGAUAUGAACUGCUUGUGAGUAGUACAUAAGGCUGAUGAUUAUCAUCGGUGGUCGCAAAGAUAGGAUAAUAACCGGAAGAGAAAAACUAUGCGAAGAGACGGAAAAGUAAAGGUGGUAAAAUGACUUAUGCUCAUAAGUCUAUCAGGUUAGUUGGCAUUGGAGAGUACUAGUUGAGGUUUCUUACUGUCCGUCUCAGCACUGCAUCCUUGACGGGUCACUGAGCUCUGUUACCGAUAGAUCUUUCGAAUGGUUAGUUGUGGCAUGUUGGCACUAAAUAUUAUACUAAGCUACUUCCGUUGUAAUUGUAAAUAUUAGAUAAUGAUUUAAAUAUUUAGUUUUGGCUGGAAAAAAAGAAAUAAUGAAAAUUUUAAAUUACCAUA